ACUGAGAUAUGAGGAUGAGUGGGCAUUAACUCCAUGAAGAGGGAAGGGAAAAGCAUUGCAGACAGAGGGAACAGCAUGUGCAGAUGUUCUGUGAUGGGAGCUGUGUGGCCUCUGGCAAGUUUCGAAACCUCUCUGUGUUUCAACGUCCCCAUGUGGAAAGCAAGCAUAAGAAAACUGACCUCGCUGGCUGGUUGUGCCAAUUAUGUGCCUCAAAAGUGCCUGAGCAGUAGGCUGAGGCACCCCAUGGACGUCACAGAAGAAAAUUCUGGCCAAGACAGACAAUUUGGUGUUUGCUACAACGGAUGUAAUAUGUUUUUGCUGUUUGAGAAGAUUCAGGUCUGCCACAGAAAACAGGUAAACAAGUGGGCUGGAUGAACUUUGUCACUGAUAAGGAAGCCAGUACCGGGGUCGGGGAGAUGUUAGAUAAGGCAGCACAGAUGGGUGAACAAAGAUAAAAAGAGAUGGAAGGAGCAGGCGAUGCCUACUAUUCAUGAGGUCCUAAAUAUACAAGAGACACGAAAUAUUCAUGAGGCACUAAAUAUAUUCAAGGCACCUGAGGCACUACAUAUUCAUAAUCAACUAAAUAUACAUGAGGCAUACGAGGCACUCAAUAUUCAGCCACCCAUUGGUUACACUGUUCUGGCCCCAUGUGUCCAAGAAAUGCAAAUAACCGUGGCUGUUCCUCAGGCUAAUUGGAGACGGGCGGGGGCGGCUGUGGUUGGGCGUGCUGUCUCUGCAUCUCUCUGACUGAGCGUGAGCUCGUCAUUGGCCCCAGGCACCUUCCAGACUUCUGUGCACCUCAAACUUCAACUGCGGUCUCGUACCCACAGCCGUUCCCACAGCAUCCGCGGGGAAGGCAGAGGCAGCAGCGAGACAGAGCAUCGGCCAUCCCAGGAUUCAGGCAGCGUGGUCCUUCCGCCCCCUGGUACCCUGUGCUAAGUGUCUGCAUCUGCUCAGCUCCCUGUGUAUCUCUCUCUUUUCGGUGGCUUCACGACCCUGUGUGAUUCGAGCUCUUGCUCCUGGUUUGGCAGCCUUUCUUUCCUGUGAUCUCUGGGAUCGCUUGCCUGGAAGGGUACUGGGUUGCCCGUGGGAAGAGGCGAGUUCCCAUGUAACCGGUCCUGAGCUGGAACUCAGAGUGCGACAUAGGGGAAUGGCGCCAGCCUUUUUGCUUAUGGAUGGCUCCACCUCCUCCUCAGGCCUCCAGCGGUGUAUAGGUCUUUGCGGUCCCCGUUGGCUUCUCAGAAGCCUGUGUGGGCACCUCAGGAAGGAGCUGAUCCAGGCCUGGAGGAAACCACUGGCUGGGAUUCCACCUGGGAUGGAACAGCCGUUUAUUUGAGCUGAUGUGUGCGUUAAGCUCCCUCCGGAACGGACUGGCUGCUGGUGGCUGUUGUGGUUCAAGCCAUCAUUCCAAUCAUGCGUGACUUCAGAUCCGGGCUUCCCCCCAAUAAACCCCUCAAUGGC
This 1461-nucleotide long non-coding RNA is filed under the name Sus scrofa (pig). RNAcentral describes it as "lncRNA (ENSSSCG00000062563.1)". The record is from RNAcentral. Lineage: Eukaryota; Metazoa; Chordata; Mammalia; Artiodactyla; Suidae.